ACGACCGGCGCACGGGUGAGUAACACGUUUGCAACCUACCUCUAACUGGGGGAUAGCCCGAAGAAAUUCAGAUUAAUACCCCAUAAGGUUAAUUUGAGGCAUCUCAAAUUGAUUAAAGCUCCGGCGGUUAGAGAUGGGCAUGCGUGUCAUUAGCUAGUUGGUGAGGUAACGGCUCACCAAGGCCACGAUGACUAGGGGGUCUGAGAGGAUGAUCCCCCACACUGGUACUGAGACACGGACCAGACUCCUACGGGAGGCAGCAGUGAGGAAUAUUGGGCAAUGGACGCAAGUCUGACCCAGCCAUGCCGCGUGCAGGAUGACUGCCCUAUGGGUUGUAAACUGCUUUUGUUUGGGAAGAACUCCCCGAUCGUGAUCGGGGCUGACGGUACCUUACGAAUAAGCAUCGGCUAACUCCGUGCCAGCAGCCGCGGUAAUACGGAGGAUGCAAGCGUUAUCCGGAUUCAUUGGGUUUAAAGGGUGCGCAGGCGGAAUAUUAAGUCAGUGGUGAAAUCCUGCAGCUUAACUGUAGAACUGCCAUUGAUACUGGUAUUCUUGAAUGUAGUUGAGGUGGGCGGAAUGUGUAAUGUAGCGGUGAAAUGCUUAGAUAUUACACAGAACACCAAUUGCGAAGGCAGCUCACUAAACUAUGAUUGACGCUGAGGCACGAAAGCGUGGGUAGCAAACAGGAUUAGAUACCCUGGUAGUCCACGCCGUAAACUAUGAUCACUCGCUGUUGGCAAUACAUCGUCAGCGGCUGAGCGAAAGCAUUAAGUGAUCCACCUGGGGAGUACGGUCGCAAGAUUGAAACUCAAAGGAAUUGACGGGGGCCCGCACAAGCGGAGGAACAUGUGGUUUAAUUCGAUGAUACGCGAGGAACCUUACCUGGGCUUAAAUGCAGAGCGACGUUCCGGGAAACCGGAAUUCCUUCGGGCGAUCUGCAAGGUGCUGCAUGGCUGUCGUCAGCUCGUGCCGUGAGGUGUCGGGUUAAGUCCCAUAACGAGCGCAACCCUUAUCGUUAGUUGCCAGCGGGUAAUGCCGGGGACUCUAACGAAACUGCCGGUGUAAACCGUGAGGAAGGUGGGGAUGACGUCAAGUCAGCACGGCCCUUGUGUCCAGGGCUACACACGUGUUACAAUGGUCGGUACAGAGGGCAGCUACCUGGCAACAGGAUGCUAAUCUCGAAAACCGGUCUCAGUUCGGAUUGGAGUCUGCAACUCGACUUCAUGAAGCUGGAUUCGCUAGUAAUCGCGCAUCAGCCAUGGCGCGGUGAUACGUUCCCGGGCCUUGUACACACCGCCCGUCAAGCCAUGGAAGCUUGGAGUACAUGAAGUCCGUAACCGCAAGGAGCGGCCUAGGGUAAGACAAGUGACUGGGGCUAAGU
This 1381-nucleotide ribosomal RNA is filed under the name uncultured organism. Its description in RNAcentral is "16S ribosomal RNA". It matches the Rfam family "Bacterial small subunit ribosomal RNA". The record is from RNAcentral.